GUCGUACGCACUGGCCCAACUGAUUGAUGGUGCUUGCACCUGAUUGACGAUGGAUUACCAGUGAGUGGCGGACGGGUGAGUAACACGUAGGUAACCUGCCCCGGAGCGGGGGAUAACAUUUGGAAACAGAUGCUAAUACCGCAUAACAACAAAAGCCACAUGGCUUUUGUUUGAAAGAUGGCUUUGGCUAUCACUCUGGGAUGGACCUGCGGUGCAUUAGCUAGUUGGUAAGGUAACGGCUUACCAAGGCGAUGAUGCAUAGCCGAGUUGAGAGACUGAUCGGCCACAAUGGAACUGAGACACGGUCCAUACUCCUACGGGAGGCAGCAGUAGGGAAUCUUCCACAAUGGGCGCAAGCCUGAUGGAGCAACACCGCGUGAGUGAAGAAGGGUUUCGGCUCGUAAAGCUCUGUUGUUGGAGAAGAACGUGCGUGAGAGUAACUGUUCACGCAGUGACGGUAUCCAACCAGAAAGUCACGGCUAACUACGUGCCAGCAGCCGCGGUAAUACGUAGGUGGCAAGCGUUAUCCGGAUUUAUUGGGCGUAAAGCGAGCGCAGGCGGUUGCUUAGGUCUGAUGUGAAAGCCUUCGGCUUAACCGAAGAAGUGCAUCGGAAACCGGGCGACUUGAGUGCAGAAGAGGACAGUG
This 646-nucleotide ribosomal RNA is filed under the name Limosilactobacillus reuteri. Its description in RNAcentral is "bacterial SSU rRNA". It matches the Rfam family "Bacterial small subunit ribosomal RNA", at positions 61 to 663 of the family's 1533-position model. The record is from RNAcentral. Lineage: Bacteria; Bacillati; Bacillota; Bacilli; Lactobacillales; Lactobacillaceae.